RNAcentral lists this ribosomal RNA (464 nucleotides) under uncultured bacterium. Its description in RNAcentral is "partial 16S ribosomal RNA". It matches the Rfam family "Bacterial small subunit ribosomal RNA", at positions 28 to 506 of the family's 1533-position model. The record is from RNAcentral.
GACGAACGCUGGCGGCGUGCUUAACACAUGCAAGUCGUACGGUAAGGCCCUUUCGGGGGUACACGAGUGGCGAACGGGUGAGUAACACGUGAGUAACCUGCCCACAACUUUGGGAUAACGCUAGGAAACUGGUGCUAAUACUGGAUAUGUGCUCCUGCUGCAUGGUGGGGGUUGGAAAGCUCCGGCGGUUGUGGAUGGACUCGCGGCCUAUCAGCUUGUUGGUGGGGUAGUGGCCUACCAAGGCGGCGACGGGUAGCCGGCCUGAGAGGGUGACCGGCCAAUUGGGGAUUGAGAUAGGGCCCAGACCCCAAGGGGGGGCAGAAGGGGGGAAUGUUGCACAAGGGGCGAAAGCCUGACGCAGCACCCCCGGGGGCGGGAUGACGGCCUUCGGGUUGUAAACCGCUUUCAGCGGGGACGAAGGUUUUUGUGAGGGUACCGGCAGAAGAAGCACCGGCUAACUACGU